RNAcentral lists this ribosomal RNA (465 nucleotides) under Vreelandella stevensii. Its description in RNAcentral is "partial 16S ribosomal RNA". It matches the Rfam family "Bacterial small subunit ribosomal RNA", at positions 338 to 795 of the family's 1533-position model. Lineage: Bacteria; Pseudomonadati; Pseudomonadota; Gammaproteobacteria; Oceanospirillales; Halomonadaceae. The record is from RNAcentral.
CCUACGGGGGGCUGCAGUGGGGAAUAUUGGACAAUGGGGGCAACCCUGAUCCAGCCAUGCCGCGUGUGUGAAGAAGGCCCUCGGGUUGUAAAGCACUUUCAGUGAGGAAGAACGCCUGGUGGUUAAUACCCAUCAGGAAAGACAUCACUCACAGAAGAAGCACCGGCUAACUCCGUGCCAGCAGCCGCGGUAAUACGGGGGGUGCGAGCGUUAAUCGGAAUUACUGGGCGUAAAGCGCGCGUAGGUGGCUUGAUAAGCCGGUUGUGAAAGCCCCGGGCUCAACCUGGGAACGGCAUCCGGAACUGUCAAGCUAGAGUGCAGGAGAGGAAGGUAGAAUUCCCGGUGUAGCGGUGAAAUGCGUAGAGAUCGGGAGGAAUACCAGUGGCGAAGGCGGCCUUCUGGACUGACACUGACACUGAGGUGCGAAAGCGUGGGUAGCAAACAGGAUUAGAUACCCCAGUAGUC